AUGAACGCUGGCGGCGUGCCUCAUCCCUGCCAGUCGAGCGAACAGACGAGGAGCUUGCUCCUCUGACGUUAGCGGCGGGCGGGUGAGUAACACGUGGAUAACCUACCUAUAAGACUGGGAUAACUUCGGGAAACCGGAGCUAAUACCGGAUAAUAUAUUGAACCGCAUGGUUCAAUAGUGAAAGACGGUUUUGCUGUCACUUAUAGAUGGAUCCGCGCCGCAUUAGCUAGUUGGUAAGGUAACGGCUUACCAAGGCAACGAUGCGUAGCCGACCUGAGAGGGUGAUCGGCCACACUGGAACUGAGACACGGUCCAGACUCCUACGGGAGGCAGCAGUAGGGAAUCUUCCGCAAUGGGCGAAAGCCUGACGGAGCAACGCCGCGUGAGUGAUGAAGGUCUUCGGAUCGUAAAACUCUGUUAUUAGGGAAGAACAAAUGUGUAAGUAACUAUGCACGUCUUGACGGUACCUAAUCAGAAAGCCACGGCUAACUACGUG
This 496-nucleotide ribosomal RNA is filed under the name uncultured bacterium. RNAcentral's name for it is "partial 16S ribosomal RNA". It matches the Rfam family "Bacterial small subunit ribosomal RNA", at positions 29 to 507 of the family's 1533-position model. The record is from RNAcentral.